UAGAAAUUAGAAUCCAUAUUUUAUCCUUAAACUAUAAGGAUUUGCUUACUUGUAGGCUCUUGACGCCCUGUAAGGUCACUACCAUUGCCGCAUAUUAAGUAAAUAUUACACAAACUUCACUAACACAUACAAAUACGAUCUACUCCUCGAAAUAUGUAAGGCAGUUAUUUGCAUUAAUGCGAUUGCAGUAUUUGUGGCUGUACAAGCAACUGACUGUUUAAAAGCCAUUGAACUCUGAUUGAAUUCAUCCACAUUGUCCUUGGUACCCUUGAAACUGGUUCUCCAAAUUGUAGAGGUAUCUAUUACCAAGAUUGGUGCCUGACGAUGAACCAUGCCAAUUUCCCAUAUCACCAGGUGGGUGCAA
Long non-coding RNA from Quercus robur (English oak), 364 nucleotides. RefSeq lists it as uncharacterized. The transcript has 2 exons. NCBI's taxonomy places the organism in Eukaryota, Viridiplantae, Streptophyta, Magnoliopsida, Fagales, Fagaceae. The record is from RefSeq and is a predicted model, not a curated record.